Molecule: ribosomal RNA, 317 nt
Filed under: uncultured bacterium
Lineage: Bacteria
Description: bacterial SSU rRNA
Rfam family: Bacterial small subunit ribosomal RNA
Source: RNAcentral
GAUGAACGCUGGCGGCGUGCCUAAUACAUGCAAGUCGAGCGAACGGAUAAGGAGCUUGCUCCUUUGAAGUUAGCGGCGGACGGGUGAGUAACACGUGGGUAACCUACCUAUAAGACUGGAAUAACUUCGGGAAACCGGAGCUAAUGCCGGAUAACAUUUGGAACCGCAUGGUUCUAAAGUAAAAGAUGGUUUUGCUAUCACUUAUAGAUGGACCCGCGCCGUAUUAGCUAGUUGGUAAGGUAACGGCUUACCAAGGCAAUGAUGCAUAGCCGAGUUGAGAGACUGAUCGGCCACAUUGGGACUGAGGCACGGCCCAA